CUACGGGUGGCAGCAGUGAGGAAUAUUGCGCAAUGGAGGCAACUCUGACGCAGCAACGCCGCGUGAGUGAAGACGGCCCGAUGGGUUGUAAAGCUCUGUAAGUGGGGAAGAGAAGGUUGCUAUAUGCAACUUGGACGGUACCCGCAAAGUAAGCUCCGGCUAACUCCGUGCCAGCAGCCGCGGUAAUACGGGGGGAGCGAGCGUUGUCCGGAUUUAUUGGGCGGAAAGGGCAUGUAGGCGGUUUGGCAAGUCAGAUGUGAAAGCCCUGGGCUCAACCUGGGAAGUGCAUUUGAAACUGCUUGACUAGAGUAUGGGAGAGGAGAUUGGAAUUCCUGGUGUAGAGGUGAAAUUCGUAGAUAUCAGGAGGAACACCCGUGGCGAAGGCGAUUCUCUGGACCAAUACUGACGCUGAGACGCGAAAGCGUGGGGAGCAAACAGGAUUAGAUACCCCCGUAGUC
RNAcentral lists this ribosomal RNA (458 nucleotides) under uncultured bacterium. Its description in RNAcentral is "partial 16S ribosomal RNA". It matches the Rfam family "Bacterial small subunit ribosomal RNA", at positions 339 to 795 of the family's 1533-position model. The record is from RNAcentral.